RNAcentral lists this transfer RNA (87 nucleotides) under Sphingomonadales bacterium. Its description in RNAcentral is "tRNA-Ser". It matches the Rfam family "tRNA". From Rfam's summary of the family: Transfer RNA (tRNA) molecules are approximately 80 nucleotides in length. The record is from RNAcentral. Lineage: Bacteria; Pseudomonadati; Pseudomonadota; Alphaproteobacteria; Sphingomonadales.
GGAUGGUUGGCAGAGAGGUAAUGCAGCCGCUUGCUAGGCGGCCGAGCCCGCAAGGGUGCGGAGGUUCGAUCCCUCCACCAUCCGCCA